RNAcentral lists this unclassified non-coding RNA (520 nucleotides) under uncultured Entrophospora. RNAcentral describes it as "SSU rRNA". It matches the Rfam family "Eukaryotic small subunit ribosomal RNA", at positions 569 to 1081 of the family's 1831-position model. Lineage: Eukaryota; Fungi; Glomeromycota; Glomeromycetes; Entrophosporales; Entrophosporaceae. The record is from RNAcentral.
AGCAGCCGCGGUAAUUCCAGCUCCAAUAGCGUAUAUUAAAGUUGUUGCAGUUAAAAAGCUCGUAGUUGAAUUUCGGGAUUGACGUGAUGGUCAUGCCUUAAGGGGUAUGAACUGUUACUGUUGAUUUCUCACCUUCUGGAGAAACUUGAUGUCCUUUAUUGGGUGUCUUGCGGAUCCAGGACCUUUACCUUGAAAAAAUUUAGAGUGUUUAAAGCAGGCAUUUUUGCUCGAAUACAUUAGCAUGGAAUAAUAGAAUAGGACGGCAUGGUUCUAUUUUGUUGGUUUCUAGGAUCACCGUAAUGAUUAAUAGGGAUAGUUGGGGGCAUUAGUAUUCAAUUGUCAGAGGUGAAAUUCUUGGAUUUAUUGAAGACUAACUACUGCGAAAGCAUUUUGCCAAGGAUGUUUUCAUUAAUCAAGAACGAAAGUUAGGGGAUCGAAGACGAUCAGAUACCGUCGUAGUCUUAACCAUAAACUAUGCCGACUAGGAAUCAGACGAUGUAAUUUUUUCAAUGACUCGUUU